UUUCGAAUUACAAGUUACAGAAGCAAAGCGGCGCAGCCCGAGUAAAACAGAAUAAAACUGAAGCAAAAACUCAAUGUCGACUAGAUGUCUCAGGACAAACCCCUCAGACACCUAUUUAUACAAAACAAUAUAAAAUGAUAGUAGAUGAGCCGGAAACCUAAUCGACCGUCCCAUAGAGUGAUAAUGGGCCGAGAUGGGCAUCGUGAUCGGAUGAAGCUCCGGACCGCUUCCAAACACUUCUUCGUCUCCUCUUCUCUUCCUUGUGCUCAGCUUGUCUAGUUGAGUGUGGAUUUGAGUAGAAUUUGAAGAUGUGGUCGAGUGCCUAGUCGAGUGGUGGUAGAGUGAUGAUACUCGAUCUCGUGGUCGAGUAGAGUGAAUGUCCGAGUGGUGGUCAGGGGUGUGACGAAGUGUUACUCGACCCAGUGGUCGAGUGGUGUCAUCGAGUAGCAUGGAGUGUGGUUACUCGACCAGGGGGUCGAGUGAUUGGUAAGAACGGCCUCAAUGUUACUAGACCAAGGGGCCGAGUGUGCUGCUGGAGUUACUCGACCAAGGGGUCGAGUAUGUCUUCUGGUUCCGGCUCUCUUCUUCCAAUUUGCUCGUCAAUAGCUCCAAAUCACUUGAAAACAACUCAGAAAUAGAAUAUGUAUGCAAAGCUAUCCUAAUCAUGCAACUAAUCAUGCAAAAUAUGCAAGAAUGAUGAGGAAUGAUAUAAAAUAGUGAUGAAUGAUAUGAAACUAGACUCAAAACGAUGAUGAAUGAACAUAGAAAACUUGCAAAAUAUAGACAUAUCAACUCCCCCAAACUUAGUCUUUGCUUACCUUCAAGCAAAUAAGAAGACAUAGCUGAAGGAGAGGUUUGAAGGUGGGGACUCAGAACCAAAGCAUCAGAUAAAGCAGAUAAAAUCAAUGUCUAAGUUGGUAGUUCUAAGAUGCGAUAUGAUCGGAUUUUACUCAAAAACGUUAGCCAUGCCUUGUUAUGAUUCAAUGCAUCAUCAAUGAACUCAUUUGGCUAAGGUGAAGGUUGAGAGACAAAGAUGAUCCCU
This 1042-nucleotide small RNA is filed under the name Arabidopsis thaliana (thale cress). RNAcentral's name for it is "ATSL093780". The record is from RNAcentral. Lineage: Eukaryota; Viridiplantae; Streptophyta; Magnoliopsida; Brassicales; Brassicaceae.